RNAcentral lists this ribosomal RNA (334 nucleotides) under uncultured prokaryote. RNAcentral describes it as "bacterial SSU rRNA". It matches the Rfam family "Bacterial small subunit ribosomal RNA", at positions 26 to 352 of the family's 1533-position model. The record is from RNAcentral.
AGAUUGAACGCUGGCGGCAUGCCUAACACAGUGCAAGUCGAGCGGCAGGCGCGGGGGCGACCCCUGGACGGCCGAGCGGCGGACGGGUGAGUAAGGCAUCGGAAUCUGCCCUGAUGUGGGGGAUAACGUAGGGAAACUUACGCUAAUACCGCAUACGACCGAGAGGUGAAAGCGGGGGACCGAAAGGCCUCGCGCAGCAGGAGUCGAGCCGAUGUCCGGAUUAGCUGGUUGGUGGGGUAAAGGCCUACCAAGGCGACGAAUCGGUAGACUGGUCGUGAGAGGAUGAUCAGCCACACUGGGACUGAGACACGGCCCAGACUCCUACGGAGGCAGC